GGGAAUGUAGCUCACUGGUACAGCAUUUGUCUAGCAUACACAAGGCCCUAGGUUCAAACCCCAGCAUUACCA
Molecule: non-coding RNA, 72 nt
Organism: Ictidomys tridecemlineatus (thirteen-lined ground squirrel)
Lineage: Eukaryota; Metazoa; Chordata; Mammalia; Rodentia; Sciuridae
Source: Rfam